This 1889-nucleotide long non-coding RNA is filed under the name Rhipicephalus microplus (southern cattle tick). RNAcentral's name for it is "uncharacterized LOC119160865". Lineage: Eukaryota; Metazoa; Arthropoda; Arachnida; Ixodida; Ixodidae. The record is from RNAcentral.
UACACGCUUGACACGUCAGAACGUCUCGGUCGAGGACUCGUUAGAAACGACCAUGUUCAGCGGCGAUUUGCGACACCGAGACGUGUAUUCGUUGUCUUAUUCUGAUCGGCUAACCUGUGGUUCCGUGAAGUCAGACAAUAUGCCAGCAGAAGUUUGCGCAACGUGUCGUUAACUUCGUUGCUUCGAGCCACAAUUGUGUCGGAGCUUUCUCGCCAAGCGGACCAGCGAACAACUUUGGUGGAUUUCGCUAUCAAACAUUCUACAAAAAUCGGCCCAAAGGCGGACGGAAGACAUUACAGAUAGACACACAGAAGCCAUCGGGCUGCCUCAGAAACUGUGACUGAGCCUUAACCUACAUAAAGAAAGGAGCCAAGCAGAGCUGUUCAUGGGCCAUGCACACAGUUUCAUAAGUGGGCUUUCAGAACUUUUGACAAUUAUGUUUCUGAAUACAUCUGCCAAAGUUGUGUUUAAAGAAGCGUGUAGUAGUGCAUUUCAUUACUCAUUUGACAUGCUGCAGCAGGUAUAACUCACACACUUGCAAGAUAACGCAGCAGAGUGCAUACAUAUAAACUACCCCCCCAUACACACUAGAUUUGUGGAUGAACUGUGAAUUGUUUACUCUGACCUUUCACAACAAUUAUUAAAAAAUGACAUAAAGCUUUGCCAUCUAUGCAAGUAGCGUUCUCCCUAUGAGUUAGAAAUAAGUGUGCAAAGUUCAACCAGUCUACUGGUCACAUAUUUUCUUGUAAACAUUUAUAAAUAGAAGGCCGGGGUUGUUGGAAGCUGAUAGCGACUGCACAAGGUUUCUGUUUUCUCACAUUUGCACAUGAAGUGGCAUAGUCAAAUUGCUCAGGCAGCUGCUAUGUAUUGUUCACUCAACAAGGUUUAAGCUCUGUGUCAGAACAUGUUGCAUGAAAAACUUAAGCAACGUCCUCUUUACGUUCUUCAAGUUUUGUUGACCACUUUUCAUUUGUUUUUUGCCCACGGAAGUUGUGUCGCAAUUUUCGCUUUAUAUUUCAUUGAUGACCUCACUCAAAUCUUCAGUGCUUUUCGGUAUAGCUUGGGAUAUACGUUCACAAACCACACACCUGUGCAUGAUCGGAGGAAAGUCUUCUACAAAGUACACUGGGGUAUUGCAACGCUACUCCUAUUGGCAAAAUGGGCAGAAAGAGUUCAGAGGUUUAAAGACUGCAAAGCGGGGAUGCUGCUAUUGCCACCAGGGCAGCUUGUUCCAAGACUGAGUUUAACUACUGGACAACAAGGCGUAGCUUCUAUAUAAACAGUGCUUAAAUCUGGCUUGGACACAGAUAGGGGGGUGGGGACUUAGAAUAUUACUUAAUUUGUUGUCAACCAUUAACUUCCAAGAGCAACAUGUUCACUAGGAUGUAUAUUGCUAAAGAAAUGCUAAACCUUCACUGACUUGUUACUAACAAUGCUGGAACUGCCACCUGCUUAGGUCAGAACACUUCUAUGCAACUUUACUAAUUGCAAGUCCAAGUAAACUUUUUACACUCAUUAUUUCACACGUAGUUUAGAACAUCGUUGCAUGUACAGAUUGGCUCAACAAAAAGAAAUCUGCAAAAUGGGGAAAGGGAGGAUGUAAUGUGAAUUUAGCCCGGGUAAAUUUUUGGCCUUGUUGGUGUAACAUUUGCAUAAAGUUCAGCGUAGCACUUGAAAUCACAAGGAUGGGACAGGCUUGUGUAUGUUCUGCCUCUCCCAUCUUCAUCAUUUAAGUGCCGCGAUUAGAUCUAUAAAGAUGUCAUGUUCUCUAUGUGCCUUUGUUUGCUGUGCACUCCAAUCUUGUGUUCUUUGUGUGGAGUUCAGUUCAACUGGACUCCUGUUCAAUUUGGUGUUAUGUACAUAAUAAACAGGUACUUUAGGGAGCUAGC